GUUGGUGUAGCUCAGUGGUAGAGUGCACGCUUUGUGUGUAUGAUAGCCUGGGUUCAAUCCCCAGCCUCUCCC
RNAcentral lists this transfer RNA (72 nucleotides) under Dallia pectoralis (Alaska blackfish). RNAcentral's name for it is "tRNA-Thr". The stretch from base 7 to 65 matches the Rfam family "tRNA", at positions 7 to 64 of the family's 71-position model. From Rfam's summary of the family: Transfer RNA (tRNA) molecules are approximately 80 nucleotides in length. Their secondary structure includes four short double-helical elements and three loops (D, anti-codon, and T loops). Further hydrogen bonds mediate the characteristic L-shaped molecular structure. tRNAs have two regions of fundamental functional importance: the anti-codon, which is responsible for specific mRNA codon recognition, and the 3' end, to which the tRNAs corresponding amino acid is attached (by aminoacyl-tRNA synthetases). tRNAs cope with the degeneracy of the genetic code in two manners: having more than one tRNA (with a specific anti-codon) for a particular amino acid; and 'wobble' base-pairing, i.e. permitting non-standard base-pairing at the 3rd anti-codon position. Lineage: Eukaryota; Metazoa; Chordata; Actinopteri; Esociformes; Umbridae. The record is from RNAcentral.